This is a long non-coding RNA of Symphalangus syndactylus (siamang), 2459 nucleotides long. RefSeq lists it as uncharacterized. NCBI's taxonomy places the organism in Eukaryota, Metazoa, Chordata, Mammalia, Primates, Hylobatidae. The record is from RefSeq and is a predicted model, not a curated record.
ACAAAAACAAGUUUCAAGUUAUAGAGAAAUGAAGGAAAAGUAAAAAGUGCUUUGAGGAGAAGAAAGGCAGAGACGUUGUACUGGACACAGAGAUGAGCUAUGCAGAUCUUCCUUCAAGAAAAGACUUACUGAGAAUUUUUGCAUCUAUGGUUAUCAGUGUUACUGACCUGAAUGACAUUAUCCGGAUAGCUUGGCCCAGCCUGGUCAUCCCACCCUAUUGGCAGCAGGACAACUGUGAGACAGAAACAAACAGCCUGAGCCAGGCGAAAUCAGCCCCUGGGGAAAGUGGAAAUGGGGUGCAGAGAGCUUGUGGAAAGAUGAAUAAAAACAAGGAAGAAGUUUGGGUAGGGAUGUGAUAAAAUGAAAACUGGAAUAUGGGAUUCUAAUUUAAAAAGAAUAAUGCUGAUUGGCAUGUGGCCAACUGAACUGAACAGAUGACACUGAAGACCAGAUUCUACUUGUUCUCCCUCCACUGGUUCCACAUAUCUACGUACUUGGUCACUGAGGAAACCCCUAUAAUUGUAGGUAAAUAUUAGAAAAGGGAAUGGGGGAGUCACAGGAUUAACUGAAAUUAUUUUAUCACUCCAGGGACUUUCUGCUGUAGUAGAAAUUCACUAGUUAGAACAAAAUAAAUAAUAUGAAAUUCUUGAAUAUCUGAGUUUGAGGAUAAGAUUCAAAUAUGAAACAUUCACACAUUACAUAUAUUUUCCCUCUUGUCUUGAAUUUCCAGAUUCUAUCUCCUAUAGACUGAAUGUUGUGUCUACCUAAAAUUCAGUGUUGAAAUCCCAACCCCCCAAGGUGAUGGCAUUUGAAGGGUGGGACUUUUGGGGGAUGAUUAGGUUGGAUUAGUGCCAUUAUAAUAAAGACCCCAGAGAGCUCCCUCACUCCUCCUACUGUAUGAGGACACAGUGAGACGAUAGCCAUCUAUGAACCGGGAAGUGGGCCCUCACCAGGCACUGAAUCUGCUGAUGUCUUGAUCUUGGCCUUCUCAGCCUUCAUAAUGGUAAGAAACACAUUUGUGUUGUUUCUAAGCUACUUAGUCUAUAGCAUUCUGUUAUGGCAGCCCAAAUGGACUGAGACACCAUCUAAAGUAAAAAUCAUGUAAAAUAUCUUAAGAAAGAUUCAUAUUUUGUGAUACUUGUGAACAAGGAAGUACAGGGAAGUUUCUCAUGAGGUUUUCAUUCCUGUUCUCUAUAAUUGUACUGCUAAUAUCGAUGCAACAUAGCUCCAUUUGAAAACAACAAUGACAAUAACCCCCAAAUCUUUCUUGCUAAACUGAACUAAACCUCUAACUGAGGGAUAGGUCUUAGUACUCAUUCAUUUCACAGACAUUUACUAAACACCAGUUAUAGGUCAGGCAGCAUGCCAGGUACUGGGAAUAUGCUGACAAGAAGAAUAUAUGAUUUAGGGAGAGGAAUUGCUUGCAAGAAGAUGAGCUAAGAUUCCGUGUGAAAUAAGAGUGACGGGAGCAUAGUUCUUACAAAUGAUUUUUGCAUAAGGUUAUUUAAUUAUACACAAAUGGAAAGGGGAUAAUCUGUAAUUUCCUCUCUCAACCAACAUUCUCAUUCCCUAAAUAGCUUUGGACGGGGCCAACACACCCAGAAUGCUGUGGGCAAGUGUGUUUUCAUUGGUUGAUCUGGCUUGCUAAUUCAAAGUAUAUGACCUCACUUCUCAAUUACUCACUUAACAUUCCAGUACAUUUUGGGAAUAACUGAUAAUUUUGGAAGCUGCCAAGAAGAUGGAUGGAUGGUAACUGACUUUACAGAUCUAGGAAAGCUGAAACACAACCUACCAAUAAGCUAAUUAAAAUUGCUGAGCUCUGGAAAUGCUCAUGAAUGGAAAGUACUAGGUGUUUCUGAAGGUGAGAAAGCAGGGUGUGGCUGAAAGCAGGAGGAUAGGUUGACAGUGUUAUAAGGAGGCGUUUCACUGUUUCCUACCAGCUUCUUUAGAAUAUUUAGGAAGCAUUUUAAAUCUGGGGAUCCUGAGCUUCUCUUGCAAAUCUGAAUGAAUCAAAAACAAACCAAAAAAAAAUUGGAUUUUAAAGUGUAAGCAACAAUAGUUUAUGUCAACCAAUUUCUAGAAUCACGACUAGAGUGAAACUUGUACAUCACCUCAAAUAAAAAGGCAAAUGUCAAAAUCAAACAUUAUGAAAUUUUUUCUACAUCAACAAAACCCCUAUUUUUUUCCUGAAAACAAGAAUCUAAAACUAACUCAUACAAAGCACAAGAUCCCAAGGGACAUUCUGUAAAGAAAAGAAAUAAAACUCUUAGUCAGUAGACAUUCUGACGGCAAGUUAUCCUCACCCAGAGAGACCAGGUUUCUGUAGUUUUCUAACAUCACACCCUGAUACAAAUUCUUCUGAGCUGGUUCCAGGUGUUCCCACUCCUCCAAAGAGAAUUCUACAGCCGCAUCUCUGAAUGUCAACAGUCCCUGAAAUAAAAAUAAAGAAUACAUUGAUC